This is a long non-coding RNA of Sander lucioperca (pikeperch), 100 nucleotides long. RefSeq lists it as uncharacterized. The transcript is spliced from 3 exons. The record is from RefSeq and is a predicted model, not a curated record. NCBI's taxonomy places the organism in Eukaryota, Metazoa, Chordata, Actinopteri, Perciformes, Percidae.
ACAAUAUGGACAUCCAGGGGGCAUAGCACAAAAUUCUGGGCCCUGUAGAAAGGCGUUUUCUAUUGGCCCCUCCCCGCUCCACAGCUAUUCAUUCUAGCAU